This 253-nucleotide ribosomal RNA is filed under the name uncultured bacterium. RNAcentral describes it as "partial 16S ribosomal RNA". It matches the Rfam family "Bacterial small subunit ribosomal RNA", at positions 524 to 776 of the family's 1533-position model. The record is from RNAcentral.
UACGUAGGGGGCAAGCGUUGUCCGGAAUUAUUGGGCGUAAAGAGCGUGUAGGCGGUCCGGUAAGUCAGCUGUGAAAGUCAAGGGCUCAACCCUUGAAUGCCGGUUGAUACUGUCGGGCUAGAGUCCGGAAGAGGCGAGUGGAAUUCCCGGUGUAGCGGUGAAAUGCGCAGAUAUCGGGAGGAACACCAGCGGCGAAGGCGGCCUUCUGGACGGUGACUGACACUGAGACGCGAAAGCGUGGGGAGCAAACAGG